AGAGUUUGAUCCUGGCUCAGAUUGAACGCUGGCGGCAUGCUUUACACAUGCAAGUCGAACGGUAACAGGGGAGCUUGCUCCCGCUGACGAGUGGCGAACGGGUGAGUAAUGCAUCGGAACGUGCCGAAUAGUGGGGGAUAACGCACCGAAAGGUGUGCUAAUACCGCAUACGCCCUGAGGGGGAAAGUGGGGGGCCGCAAGGCCUCACGCUAAUCGAGCGGCCGAUGUCGGAUUAGCUAGUUGGUGGGGUAAAGGCUCACCAAGGCGACGAUCCGUAGCGGGUCUGAGAGGAUGAUCCGCCACACUGGGACUGAGACACGGCCCAGACUCCUACGGGAGGCAGCAGUGGGGAAUUUUGGACAAUGGGGGAAACCCUGAUCCAGCCAUGCCGCGUGUCUGAAGAAGGCCUUCGGGUUGUAAAGGACUUUUGUCCGGGAGGAAACCCUGAUCGUUAAUAGCGGUCGGGACUGACAGUACCGGAAGAAUAAGCACCGGCUAACUACGUGCCAGCAGCCGCGGUAAU
RNAcentral lists this ribosomal RNA (523 nucleotides) under uncultured bacterium. Its description in RNAcentral is "bacterial SSU rRNA". It matches the Rfam family "Bacterial small subunit ribosomal RNA", at positions 8 to 524 of the family's 1533-position model. The record is from RNAcentral.